This 453-nucleotide ribosomal RNA is filed under the name Ambastaia nigrolineata (black-lined loach). RNAcentral's name for it is "partial 12S ribosomal RNA". It matches the Rfam family "Bacterial small subunit ribosomal RNA", at positions 754 to 1415 of the family's 1533-position model. Lineage: Eukaryota; Metazoa; Chordata; Actinopteri; Cypriniformes; Botiidae. The record is from RNAcentral.
UAAAAAGCUUCAAACUGGGAUUAGAUACCCCACUAUGCUCAGUUGUAAACCUAGACGUUUAAUCACAACAGACGUCCGCCAGGGUACUACGAGCGUCAGCUUAAAACCCAAAGGACUUGGCGGUGCCUCAGACCCCCCUAGAGGAGCCUGUUCUAGAACCGAUAACCCCCGUUAAACCUCACCAUUUCUAGUCAACCCCGCCUAUAUACCGCCGUCGUCAGCUUACCCUGUGAAGGACCAAUAGUAAGCAAAAUGAACAUAGUCCAAAACGUCAGGUCGAGGUGUAGCGCACGAAGUGGGAAGAAAUGGGCUACAUUUUCUAAUAUAGAAUAAUACGAAUAGCACCAUGAAAAAAUGCUUGAAGGAGGAUUUAGUAGUAAAAAGGAAACAGAGUGUCCUUUUGAACCCGGCUCUGAGGCGCGUACACACCGCCCGUCACCCUCUGCAGUCAAA